GUGGGGAAUAUUGGACAAUGGGCGAAAGCCUGAUCCAGCCAUGCCGCGUGUGUGAAGAAGGUCUUCGGAUUGUAAAGCACUUUAAGUUGGGAGGAAGGGCAGUAAGUUAAUACCUUGCUGUUUUGACGUUACCGACAGAAUAAGCACCGGCUAACUUCGUGCCAGCAGCCGCGGUAAUACGAAGGGUGCAAGCGUUAAUCGGAAUUACUGGGCGUAAAGCGCGCGUAGGUGGUUUUGUAAGUUGGAGGUGGAAUCCCCGGGCUCAACCUGUGAACUGCCUCCAAAACUGCAUGACUAGAGUACGGUAGAGGGUAGUGGAAUUUCCUGUGUAGCGGUGAAAUGCGUAGAUAUAGGAAGGAACACCAGUGGCGAAGGCGACUACCUGGACUGAUACUGACACUGAGGUGCGAAAGCGUGGGGAGCAAACAGGAUUAGAAACCCGGGUAGUCC
Molecule: ribosomal RNA, 450 nt
Filed under: uncultured bacterium
Lineage: Bacteria
Description: partial 16S ribosomal RNA
Rfam family: Bacterial small subunit ribosomal RNA
Source: RNAcentral